CUACGGGUGGCAGCAGUAAGGAAUAUUGCGCAAUGGAGGCAACUCUGACGCAGCCAUGCCGCGUGCAGGAAGAAGGCCUUAUGGGUCGUAAACUGCUUUUAUUUAGGAAUAAACCCCCGAACGUGUUCGGGGCUGAAGGUACUAAACGAAUAAGCACCGGCUAACUCCGUGCCAGCAGCCGCGGUAAUACGGAGGGUGCAAGCGUUAUCCGGAUUUAUUGGGUUAAAGGGUGCGCAGGCGGGCUAUUAAGUCAGUGGUGAAAUCCCGGGGCUCAACUCCGGAACUGCCAUUGAUACUGUUAGUCUUGAGUUUGGUUGAAGUGGGCGGAAUGUAGCAUGUAGCGGUGAAAUGCAUAGAUAUGCUACAGAACACCAAUCGCGAAGGCAGCUCACUAAGCCAAAACUGACGCUCAUGCACGAAAGCGUGGGGAUCAAACAGGAUUAGAUACCCUGGUAGUC
Molecule: ribosomal RNA, 458 nt
Filed under: uncultured bacterium
Lineage: Bacteria
Description: partial 16S ribosomal RNA
Rfam family: Bacterial small subunit ribosomal RNA
Source: RNAcentral